RNAcentral lists this ribosomal RNA (459 nucleotides) under Nerita picea. RNAcentral describes it as "partial 16S large subunit ribosomal RNA". It matches the Rfam family "Bacterial large subunit ribosomal RNA", at positions 1913 to 2597 of the family's 2925-position model. Lineage: Eukaryota; Metazoa; Mollusca; Gastropoda; Cycloneritida; Neritidae. The record is from RNAcentral.
CAGUGAUCACUUUAACGGCCGCGGUACCCUGACCGUGCAAAGGUAGCAUAAUCAUUUGCCUUUUAAUUGGAGGCUAGUAUGAAUGGUCCGACGAGAGUAAAGCUGUCUCAUAUAUAUUCAAUAUAAAUUAACCUAAAGGUGCAAAGGCCUUUAUCUGAUAAAAAGACGAGAAGACCCUGUUGAGCUUUAAUCUUAACGAGCAUCUUUUCUAUAUUUAUAAAUUUAUUUUGCUCGCUAAAGAUUUUAAUUGGGGCGAUUAAGGAACACUCAUCAGCUUCCUGAUUAUAAGUUAAAUCGAUCCAGCAAUGUUGAUCAACAAAAUGAGUUACCACAGGGAUAACAGCAUAAUUCUUCUUGAGAGUCCAUAUCGAAAGAAGAGAUUGUGACCUCGAUGUUGGACUAGGGUAACCAGAAGGUGCAGCCGCUUUCUUGUUUGGUCUGUUCGACCAAUAAUUCCCU